CAUGCAAGUCGAGGGGAAACGAUAUUGGAAGCUUGCUUCCGAUAGGCGUCGACCGGCGCACGGGUGAGUAACGCGUAUCCAACCUGCCCACCACUUGGGGAUAACCUUGCGAAAGUAAGACUAAUACCCAAUGACGUCUCUAGAGGACAUCUGAAAGAGAUUAAAGAUUUAUCGGUGAUGGAUGGGGAUGCGUCUGAUUAGCUUGUUGGCGGGGUAACGGCCCACCAAGGCUACGAUCAGUAGGGGUUCUGAGAGGAAGGUCCCCCACAUUGGAACUGAGACACGGUCCAAACUCCUACGGGAGGCAGCAGUGAGGAAUAUUGGUCAAUGGACGAGAGUCUGAACCAGCCAAGUAGCGUGCAGGAUGACGGCCCUAUGGGUUGUAAACUGCUUUUAUAAGGGAAUAAAGUGAGUCUCGUGAGACUUUUUGCAUGUACCUUAUGAAUAAGGACCGGCUAAUUCCGUGCCAGCAGCCGCGGUAAUACGGAAGGUCCGGGCGUUAUCCGGAUUUAUUGGGUUUAAAGGGAGCGUAGGCCGGAGAUUAAGCGUGUUGUGAAAUGUAGACGCUCAACGUCUGCACUGCAGCGCGAACUGGUUUCCUUGAGUACGCACAAAGUGGGCGGAAUUCGUGGUGUAGCGGUGAAAUGCUUAGAUAUCACGAAGAACUCCGAUUGCGAAGGCAGCUCACUGGAGCGCAACUGACGCUGAAGCUCGAAAGUGCGGGUAUCGAACAGGAUUAGAUACCCUGGUAGUCCGCACGGUAAACGAUGGAUGCCCGCUGUUGGUCUGAAUAGGUCAGCGGCCAAGCGAAAGCAUUAAGCAUCCCACCUGGGGAGUACGCCGGCAACGGUGAAACUCAAAGGAAUUGACGGGGGCCCGCACAAGCGGAGGAACAUGUGGUUUAAUUCGAUGAUACGCGAGGAACCUUACCCGG
RNAcentral lists this ribosomal RNA (934 nucleotides) under uncultured bacterium. RNAcentral describes it as "bacterial SSU rRNA". It matches the Rfam family "Bacterial small subunit ribosomal RNA", at positions 54 to 978 of the family's 1533-position model. The record is from RNAcentral.